RNAcentral lists this ribosomal RNA (277 nucleotides) under uncultured prokaryote. RNAcentral's name for it is "partial 16S ribosomal RNA". It matches the Rfam family "Bacterial small subunit ribosomal RNA", at positions 524 to 798 of the family's 1533-position model. The record is from RNAcentral.
UACGGAGGGUGCAAGCGUUGUUCGGAAUUAUUGGGCGUAAAGGGCGCGUAGGCGGUUGUGAUAGUCAGAUGUGAAAUCCUCCGGCUUAACUGGAGAACUGCAUCUGAAACUUCAUAGCUAGAGUACAGGAGAGGGAAACGGAAUUCCCGGUGUAGAGGUGGAAUUCGUAGAUAUCGGGAGGAACACCAGUGGCGAAGGCGGUUUCCUGGCCUGAUACUGACGCUGAAGCGCGGAAAGCGUGGGGAGCAAAACAGGAUUAGAUACCCUCGUAGUCCCU